CUAUAUUUUUGGGGCCGGGCAACCGGCUAUGGCGAUAAAUGUUCUGUGGAAUAGGCGUGACGGACCCGGGGGCAGUACCCGGCGCCUCCACCAAUUCCCGCUCCGGGACGCGGGUUCCGGGGCGGGCCUCGCGGGGGCGAACCAGGCUCGACGUGCGCGGUAAAGGCAGGACUUUCGCUCGGUAUGGUUCCGCCGUAACGGGCCAUCGACAAAUGCCAACGACAACGUUGCAUUUGCUGCUGCCGCCUAAACAGCGGUAACGGGGUUCGGGGGGCACCUGGCAACAGAAGCCCCCCACU
This 299-nucleotide transfer-messenger RNA is filed under the name Rhodospirillales bacterium. It matches the Rfam family "Alphaproteobacteria transfer-messenger RNA". From Rfam's summary of the family: Bacterial tmRNA, also known as 10Sa RNA or SsrA, is named for its dual tRNA and mRNA-like properties. Its role is to liberate the mRNA from a stalled ribosome. Lineage: Bacteria; Pseudomonadati; Pseudomonadota; Alphaproteobacteria; Rhodospirillales. The record is from RNAcentral.